This 502-nucleotide ribosomal RNA is filed under the name uncultured bacterium. Its description in RNAcentral is "partial 16S ribosomal RNA". It matches the Rfam family "Bacterial small subunit ribosomal RNA", at positions 28 to 507 of the family's 1533-position model. The record is from RNAcentral.
GACGAACGCUGGCGGCGUGCCUAAUACAUGCAAGUCGAACGAACCGCGACUAGGUGCUUGCACUUGGUCAAGGUGAGUGGCGAACGGGUGAGUAACACGUGGGUAACCUACCUCAUAGUGGGGGAUAACAGUCGGAAACGACUGCUAAUACCGCAUAGGACAUAGGAUCACAUGAUCCAGUGAGGAAAGGUGGCGCAAGCUAUCGCUAAGAGAUGGACCCGCGGUGCAUUAGCUAGUUGGUAGGGUAAAGGCCUACCAAGGCGAUGAUGCAUAGCCGACCUGAGAGGGUGAUCGGCCACAUUGGGACUGAGACACGGCCCAAACUCCUACGGGAGGCAGCAGUCGGGAAUCUUCCGCAAUGGACGCAAGUCUGACGGAGCAACGCCGCGUGAGUGAAGAAGGUCUUCGGAUCGUAAAGCUCUGUUGUUAGAGAAGAACAGCGCAUAGAGUAACUGUUAUGCGUGUGACGGUAUCUAACCAGAAAGCCACGGCUAACUACGUG